UACGGAGGGGGCAAGCGUUGUUCGGAAUUACUGGGCGUAAAGGGCGCGUAGGCGGCCUUCUAAGUCGAACGUGAAAUCCCCGGGCUCAACCCGGGAACUGCGUCCGAGACUGGAAGGCUUGAAUCCGGGAGAGGGAUGUGGAAUUCCUGGUGUAGCGGUGAAAUGCGUAGAUAUCAGGAGGAACACCUGUGGUGUAGACAGCUUACUGGACCAUCACUGACGCUGAAACACGAAAGCGUGGGUAGCAAACAGG
RNAcentral lists this ribosomal RNA (253 nucleotides) under uncultured bacterium. RNAcentral's name for it is "partial 16S ribosomal RNA". It matches the Rfam family "Bacterial small subunit ribosomal RNA", at positions 524 to 776 of the family's 1533-position model. The record is from RNAcentral.